Long non-coding RNA from Megachile rotundata (alfalfa leafcutting bee), 1062 nucleotides. The record is from RefSeq and is a predicted model, not a curated record. Lineage: Eukaryota; Metazoa; Arthropoda; Insecta; Hymenoptera; Megachilidae.
GAUACGGAGUUAGGUAGCGAACCGUGGCUCAGUUAGCUUCCGUUCAUUCUCGCGGAACGUUGGUCGGUUAGCUUCUGUGGUGCAGUUUUUACGCACGUUGCCUCUUUAACUGUUCGCGUUAUCGCCAACGGAUUUUCAUGUGAAAGUGAACGUGACGUGCUCGUGGAUUCUCCUGUAUGCCGUCAGAGUGUGUGAAUGUGCUCGUGAUACUAAUGGAGAUCGGUUGGUGACGGAGAAGUGCAUGUAUCUUGCCAGGAGUGAAGUGUCAAGUGCCGGCGGACAAUGAAUACGAUGAUACGGAGCUGUUUCCUCUUUUGGCUGCUUUUGCAGGGAUACGUUCAAGGAACGAGUCGCUGAAAAUAAACGGAAACCAGACAAACGAUCGUGACUGAAUUUUUACAGGGUAUCAUAACUUCAGUCACUUAAAUUUUUCAUAGAAUUUUCAACUCGGUGAUUAAAAAAGAGCUCUAAACGUAAACAAAAAAACCUUUCAAAAACGUAAAAAGGAGAUGAAUUCAUUUCUCCAGCUCGUGAGAUUGGAAAGUCGAUCGGGGCCCAUCCCGAAUGUGUUAAAACAAAAUGCAGUAUAUCAGUGAAGCUCGUCUCGGUUGAAUAGUUGAUUUACGCGAUUUCCCUAUCUUCGUCUCGGGACUCUACCGUUCAUCUGAACUCGGACGUGCUGAAAUCGACUUUUCCAUUCUAAAGGAUCAUCGCUUCUACAGUAAUCAAUACUUUAAAAAUAUUCAACGUGUUUUUUUCGAGAAUAUUAUCCUCAGAGUGAAAAAUUUUAGUUUUUUUAAUUCAGCACAAUUCUAGCGAAACCACGCUGGCAAGAGCUGAAUGAAAAGAAAUUUUACAGAACCGACCAUUUUGAAUGGAAAUAAAUAUUUUUGUUAUUUGUUUUUUAUUUGUUAUUCAUGUAUAUUCGACUGUGUUGAGUCAGUCCAUAAUGAGAUGACUUCAAAUAACUUGUAAAUCAGUGUGGACAAUUUUUUAAAGGACUGCGAAGAAAUACAUGUUUCAAACUGGUUAUUUCAAGGGCGCAUACCGUGCUAUAAUUAU